Molecule: ribosomal RNA, 427 nt
Filed under: uncultured bacterium
Lineage: Bacteria
Description: partial 16S ribosomal RNA
Rfam family: Bacterial small subunit ribosomal RNA
Source: RNAcentral
GUGGGGAAUAUUGGGCAAUGGGGGAAACCCUGACCCAGCAACGCCGCGUGAAGGAAGAAGGCUUUCGGGUUGUAAACUUCUUUUAUGAGGGACGAAGAAGUGACGGUACCUCAUGAAUAAGCCACGGCUAACUACGUGCCAGCAGCCGCGGUAAUACGUAGGUGGCAAGCGUUGUCCGGAUUUACUGGGUGUAAAGGGCGCGUAGGCGGGAUAGCAAGUCAGGUGUGAAAUCCGGGGGCUCAACCCUCGGACUGCACUUGAAACUGUUAUUCUUGAGGGAUGGAGAGGGAGGCGGAAUUCCUAGGGUAGCGGUGAAAUGCGUAGAGAUUAGGAGGAACACCAGUGGCGAAGGCGGCCUGCUGGACAUUAACUGACGCUGAGGCGCGAAAGCGUGGGGAGCAAACAGGAUUAGAAACCCCGGUAGUCC